RNAcentral lists this ribosomal RNA (371 nucleotides) under uncultured organism. Its description in RNAcentral is "partial 16S ribosomal RNA". It matches the Rfam family "Bacterial small subunit ribosomal RNA", at positions 527 to 896 of the family's 1533-position model. The record is from RNAcentral.
GUAGGUGGCAAGCGUUGUCCGGAAUUAUUGGGCGUAAAGCGCGCGCAGGCGGUUCUUUAAGUCUGAUGUGAAAGCCCACGGCUCAACCGUGGAGGGUCAUUGGAAACUGGAGAACUUGAGUACAGAAGAGGAAAGCGGAAUUCCACGUGUAGCGGUGAAAUGCGUAGAGAUGUGGAGGAACACCAGUGGCGAAGGCGGCUUUCUGGUCUGUAACUGACGCUGAGGCGCGAAAGCGUGGGGAGCAAACAGGGAUUAGAUACCCUGGUAGUCCACGCCGUAAACGAUGAGUGCUAAGUGUUAGGGGGUUUCCGCCCCUUAGUGCUGCAGCUAACGCAUUAAGCACUCCGCCUGGGGAUACGGCCGCAAGGCUG